RNAcentral lists this ribosomal RNA (492 nucleotides) under uncultured bacterium. RNAcentral describes it as "partial 16S ribosomal RNA". It matches the Rfam family "Bacterial small subunit ribosomal RNA", at positions 29 to 507 of the family's 1533-position model. The record is from RNAcentral.
AGUGAACGCUGGCGGUAGGCCUAACACAUGCAAGUCGAACGGCAGCACAGUAAGAGCUUGCUCUUACGGGUGGCGAGUGGCGGACGGGUGAGGAAUACAUCGGAAUCUACUUUUUCGUGGGGUAUAACGUAGGGAAACUUACGCUAAUACCGCAUACGCCCUACGGGUGAAAGCAGGGGAUCUUCGCACCUUGCGCGAUUGAAUUACCCGAUGUCGGAUUAGCUAGUUGGCGGGGUAAAGGCCCACCAAGGCGACGAUCCGUAGCUGGUCUGAGAGGAUGAUCAGCCACACUGGAACUGAGACACGGUCCAGACUCCUACGGGAGGCAGCAGUGGGGAAUAUUGGACAAUGGGCGCAAGCCUGAUCCAGCCAUACCGCGUGGGUGAAGAAGGCCUUCGGGUUGUAAAGCCCUUUUGUUGGGAAAGAAAAGCAGCAGGUUAAUACCCCGCUGUUCUGACGGUACCCAAAGAAUAAGCACCGGCUAACUUCGUG